RNAcentral lists this ribosomal RNA (268 nucleotides) under uncultured bacterium. RNAcentral's name for it is "partial 16S ribosomal RNA". It matches the Rfam family "Bacterial small subunit ribosomal RNA", at positions 86 to 354 of the family's 1533-position model. The record is from RNAcentral.
CGGGCCUUAGUGGCGGACGGGUGAGUAACGCGUGGGGAACCUGCCUUGCACCGGGGGAUAACACUUAGAAAUAGGUGCUAAUACCGCAUAAGCGCACAGAGCCGCAUGGCUCGGUGUGAAAAACUCCGGUGGUGCAAGAUGGACCCGCGUCUGAUUAGCUGGUUGGCGGGGUAACGGCCCACCAAGGCGACGAUCAGUAGCCGGCCUGAGAGGGUGAACGGCCACAUUGGGACUGAGACACGGCCCAAACUCCUACGGAAGGCAGCAG